UGGGGAAUAUUGCACAAUGGGCGCAAGCCUGAUGCAGCGACGCCGCGUGGGGGAUGACGGCCUUCGGGUUGUAAACUCCUUUCGCUAGGGACGAAGCUUUUUGUGACGGUACCUAGAUAAGAAGCACCGGCUAACUACGUGCCAGCAGCCGCGGUAAUACGUAGGGUGCGAGCGUUGUCCGGAAUUACUGGGCGUAAAGGGCUCGUAGGUGGUUUGUCGCGUCGUCUGUGAAAUUCCGGGGCUUAACUCCGGGCGUGCAGGCGAUACGGGCAUAACUUGAGUACUGUAGGGGUAACUGGAAUUCCUGGUGUAGCGGUGAAAUGCGCAGCUAUCAGGAGGAACACCGAUGGCGAAGGCAGGUUACUGGGCAGUUACUGACGCUGAGGAGCGAAAGCAUGGGUAGCGAACAGG
RNAcentral lists this ribosomal RNA (411 nucleotides) under Actinomycetes bacterium. RNAcentral describes it as "Actinobacteria bacterium partial 16S ribosomal RNA". It matches the Rfam family "Bacterial small subunit ribosomal RNA", at positions 355 to 776 of the family's 1533-position model. Lineage: Bacteria; Bacillati; Actinomycetota; Actinomycetes. The record is from RNAcentral.